This is a non-coding RNA of Homo sapiens (human), 148 nucleotides long. It matches the Rfam family "Metazoan signal recognition particle RNA". Rfam says of the family: The signal recognition particle (SRP) is a universally conserved ribonucleoprotein. The record is from Rfam. Lineage: Eukaryota; Metazoa; Chordata; Mammalia; Primates; Hominidae.
GCCAGGUAUGGUGGCGCACACCUGUAGUCCCAGCUAUCUGGGAGGCUGAGGCAGGAGAAUUGCUUGAACCCAGGAGGCAGAGGUUGCAGUGAGCUGAGAUGGCACCACUGCACUCUGGCCUGGGUGACAGAGUGAGACUCUGUCUCAA